Molecule: ribosomal RNA, 443 nt
Filed under: uncultured bacterium
Lineage: Bacteria
Description: partial 16S ribosomal RNA
Rfam family: Bacterial small subunit ribosomal RNA
Source: RNAcentral
CCUACGGGAGGCAGCAGUGGGGAAUAUUGGGCAAUGGGCGCAAGCCUGACCCAGCAACGCCGCGUGAAGGAAGAAGGCUCUCGGGUUGUAAACUUCUUUUAUCAGGGACGAAGCAAGUGACGGUACCUGAUGAAUAAGCCACGGCUACCUACUUGCCAGCAGCCGCGGGAAGACGGAGGUGGCAAGCGUGAUCCGGAUUUACGGGGUGUAAAGGGCGUGUAGUCGGGCAAGCAAGUCAGAUGUGAAAACAAUGGGCUCAACCUGUGGCCUGCAUUUGAAACUGUUUUUCUUGAGUACUGGAGAGGCAGACGGAAUUCCUAGUGUAGCGGUGAAAUGCGUAGAUAUUAGGAGGAACACCAGGGGCGAAGGCGGUCUGCUGGACAGCAACUGACGCUGAGGCGCGAAGGCGUGGGGAGCAAACAGGAUUAGAUACCCGAGUAGUC